RNAcentral lists this ribosomal RNA (642 nucleotides) under Aeromonas hydrophila. RNAcentral describes it as "partial 23S ribosomal RNA". It matches the Rfam family "Bacterial large subunit ribosomal RNA", at positions 2242 to 2878 of the family's 2925-position model. Lineage: Bacteria; Pseudomonadati; Pseudomonadota; Gammaproteobacteria; Aeromonadales; Aeromonadaceae. The record is from RNAcentral.
GGGUCGCGGACAGUGCCUGGUGGGUAGUUUGACUGGGGCGGUCUCCUCCCAAAGAGUAACGGAGGAGCACGAAGGUUGGCUAAUCCUGGUCGGACAUCAGGAGGUUAGUGCAAUGGCAUAAGCCAGCUUAACUGCGAGACGGACAGGUCGAGCAGGUACGAAAGUAGGUCAUAGUGAUCCGGUGGUUCUGAAUGGAAGGGCCAUCGCUCAACGGAUAAAAGGUACUCCGGGGAUAACAGGCUGAUACCGCCCAAGAGUUCAUAUCGACGGCGGUGUUUGGCACCUCGAUGUCGGCUCAUCACAUCCUGGGGCUGAAGUCGGUCCCAAGGGUAUGGCUGUUCGCCAUUUAAAGUGGUACGCGAGCUGGGUUCAGAACGUCGUGAGACAGUUCGGUCCCUAUCUGCCGUGGGCGUUGGAUGAUUGAAGGGAGUUGCUCCUAGUACGAGAGGACCGGAGUGAACGAACCUCUGGUGUUCGGGUUGUCACGCCAGUGGCACUGCCCGGUAGCUAAGUUCGGAAUCGAUAACCGCUGAAAGCAUCUAAGCGGGAAGCGAGCCCUGAGAUGAGUCAUCCCUGACCCCUUGAGGGUCCUAAAGGGCCGUUGGAGACCACAACGUUGAUAGGUGGGGUGUGUAAGCGCGG